CCUAGGGGAGGCAGCAGUGGGGAAUAUUGGACAAUGGGCGAAAGCCUGAUCCAGCCAUGCCGCGUGUGUGAAGAAGGCCUUCGGGUUGUAAAGCACUUUCAGUGGGGAAGAAAGCCUUGGGGCUAAUACCCUCGAGGAAGGACAUCACCCACAGAAGAAGCACCGGCUAACUCCGUGCCAGCAGCCGCGGUAAUACGGAGGGUGCGAGCGUUAAUCGGAAUUACUGGGCGUAAAGCGCGCGUAGGCGGUCUGAUAAGCCGGUUGUGAAAGCCCCGGGCUCAACCUGGGAACGGCAUCCGGAACUGUCAGGCUAGAGUGCAGGAGAGGAAGGUAGAAUUCCCGGUGUAGCGGUGAAAUGCGUAGAGAUCGGGAGGAAUACCAGUGGCGAAGGCGGCCUUCUGGACUGACACUGACGCUGAGGUGCGAAAGCGUGGGUAGCAAACAGGAUUAGAUACCCUGGUAGUC
RNAcentral lists this ribosomal RNA (465 nucleotides) under Vreelandella stevensii. RNAcentral describes it as "partial 16S ribosomal RNA". It matches the Rfam family "Bacterial small subunit ribosomal RNA", at positions 338 to 795 of the family's 1533-position model. The record is from RNAcentral. Lineage: Bacteria; Pseudomonadati; Pseudomonadota; Gammaproteobacteria; Oceanospirillales; Halomonadaceae.